GCCUGGGUGGUGGAAUUGGUAGACACGCAGGACUUAAAAUCCUGUGAUCCUUAAAGAUCGUACGGGUUCGACCCCCGUCCCGGGUA
This 86-nucleotide transfer RNA is filed under the name Bacteroidota bacterium. Its description in RNAcentral is "Bacteroidetes bacterium (activated sludge metagenome) tRNA-Leu". It matches the Rfam family "tRNA". From Rfam's summary of the family: Transfer RNA (tRNA) molecules are approximately 80 nucleotides in length. Their secondary structure includes four short double-helical elements and three loops (D, anti-codon, and T loops). The record is from RNAcentral. Lineage: Bacteria; Pseudomonadati; Bacteroidota. RNAcentral also lists the same sequence under 1 other name.